CAGAGUUUACAACUCCCAAACCCACAUGUGAACAUACCUACUGUUGCUUCGGCGUGCUCGCCCCGGCGUCCGGCUGGCCUCGUGCUGGUCGCGGCCCGGAACCAGGUGGCCGCCGGAGAAAACCAAAAAACUCUUUGUAUUAUCAGCUUCUUCUGAAUCCGCCGCAAGGCAAAACAAAUGAAUC
RNAcentral lists this unclassified non-coding RNA (184 nucleotides) under Lecanicillium primulinum. Its description in RNAcentral is "ITS1". The record is from RNAcentral. Lineage: Eukaryota; Fungi; Ascomycota; Sordariomycetes; Hypocreales; Cordycipitaceae.